Molecule: ribosomal RNA, 241 nt
Filed under: uncultured bacterium
Lineage: Bacteria
Description: partial 16S ribosomal RNA
Rfam family: Bacterial small subunit ribosomal RNA
Source: RNAcentral
UCCCGAGCGUUGUCCGGAUUUAUUGGGCGUAAAGGGUGCGCAGGCGGUUGGUUAAGUUUAUGGUGAAAGCGUGGGGCUCAAUCCCAUAUAGCCAUAGAUACUGGCCAACUAGAGUGCAGAAGAGGGUAGUGGAAUUCCAUGUGUAGCGGUAAAAUGCAUAGAUAUAUGGAGGAACACCAGUGGCGAAGGCGGCUACCUGGUCUGUAACUGACGCUCAAGCACGAAAGCGUGGGGAGCAAAU